RNAcentral lists this ribosomal RNA (382 nucleotides) under uncultured bacterium. RNAcentral's name for it is "bacterial SSU rRNA". It matches the Rfam family "Bacterial small subunit ribosomal RNA", at positions 524 to 905 of the family's 1533-position model. The record is from RNAcentral.
UACGUAGGGUGCGAGCGUUAAUCGGAAUUACUGGGCGUAAAGGGUGCGCAGGCGGUUUUGUAAGUCAGAUGUGAAAUCCCCGGGCUUAACCUGGGAAUGGCGUUUGAAACUGCAAGGCUAGAGUGUAGCAGAGGGGAGUGGAAUUCCAUGUGUAGCAGUGAAAUGCGUAGAGAUGUGGAAGAACACCGAUGGCGAAGGCAGCUCCCUGGGUUGACACUGACGCUCAUGCACGAAAGCGUGGGGAGCAAACAGGAUUAGAUACCCUGGUAGUCCACGCCCUAAACUAUGUCAACUAGUUGUCGGAUCUAAUUAAGGAUUUGGUAACGUAGCUAACGCGUGAAGUUGACCGCCUGGGGAGUACGAUCGCAAGAUAAAACUCAAA